RNAcentral lists this unclassified non-coding RNA (433 nucleotides) under soil metagenome. Its description in RNAcentral is "partial contains 5.8S ribosomal RNA, internal transcribed spacer 2, and large subunit ribosomal RNA". The stretch from base 1 to 120 matches the Rfam family "5.8S ribosomal RNA", at positions 35 to 154 of the family's 154-position model. The record is from RNAcentral.
GAUGAAGAACGUAGCGAAAUGCGAUACGUAAUGUGAAUUGCAGAAUUCAGUGAAUCAUCGUAUCUUUGAACGCAUAUUGCGCUCUCUGGUAUUCCGGAGAGCAUGCUUGUUUGAGUAUCAGUAAACACCUCAACUUCCAUAUCUUUUUUGAAAUGGGAGUUGGACUUGAGUGAUCCCAACGCUUUUCCUCACCGAAAAGUGGCGGGUUACUUGAAAUGCAGGUGCAGCUGGACUUUUCUCUGAGCUAUAAGCAUAUCUAUUUAGUCUGCCUAAAAAACAGAUUAUUACCUUUGCUGCAGCUAACAUAAAGGAGAUUAGUUCUUGUGCUGACUGAUGCAGGAUUCACAAAGACAGGCUUCGGCCGACUUUGUAAACUCGAUCUCAAAUCAAGUAAGACUACCCGCUGAACUUAAGCAUAUCAAUAAGCGGAGGA